UGCCAGUCGAAACUGUCAAAAUUGAGUACAGAAGAGGAGAACGGAAUUCCUGGAGGAGCGGUGAAAUGCGUAGAUUUCAGGGAGAACACCGAUGGCGAAGGCAGUUCUCUGGUCUGUAACUGACGCUGAGGUACGAAAGCGUGGGUAGCGAACGGGAUUAGAUACCCCGGUAGUCCACGCUGUAAACGAUGGACACUAGAUGUCGGGCAUAAGCUCGAUGUUGCAGCUAACGCGUUAAGUGUCCCGCCUGGGGAGUACGGUCGCAAGACUAAAACUCAAAGGAAUUGACGGGGGCCUACACAAGCGGUGGAGCAUGUGGUUUAAUUCGAUGCAACGCGAAGAACCUUACCUGGACUUG
Molecule: ribosomal RNA, 358 nt
Filed under: uncultured bacterium
Lineage: Bacteria
Description: bacterial SSU rRNA
Rfam family: Bacterial small subunit ribosomal RNA
Source: RNAcentral